RNAcentral lists this ribosomal RNA (119 nucleotides) under Pteropus alecto (black flying fox). RNAcentral also lists the same sequence under 1 other name. The record is from RNAcentral. Lineage: Eukaryota; Metazoa; Chordata; Mammalia; Chiroptera; Pteropodidae.
GACUAUGGCCAUGCCACCCUGAACAAGCCCAGUCUCGUCUGAUCUUGGAAGCUAAGCAGGAUCGGGCCUGGUUAGUACUCGGAUAGGAAACCACCUAGGAAGAUCAGGUGCUGUCAGCA